ACCUAAAAUUGCACAUUUUUACAAAACUGAGCGCACCUUAGGACAAUGCCAGUUGCUCGUAUUCCUUGUAUGUUUGUUUAUCGUCUACCUUACAGUUUCUUGAUUUUAAGUAUUAUUAAAUUUUUUGCGGUAGUUAAGUAAUAAAAUGUGUCAGUGACUGUACGCAACCACAAACGUUUUUGUAAAUUAAUUCUAAGAUUUCUCAUGUAAGUGAAUUUAUAAUUCUUAUGGGAAAAUAAAUAUAUCUCGACACUCAAAUUAGACAAAAUAAUAGAAUAUUAACACGUUUGUGGACAGAACGAGAUUAAACAUCAUCGUUCGAAAUUAACGCGCAACGUGUAUACACGUCCCGCGCACAUAUCACGCUUGGUUGUGUCAUGAUGUCUUGGGACGAUACGCUACGAUGGGACGCUACGUACAUACACGUCGUAUAAUUUGUAUGGACAUUUACUGUGUCAUUUUGGUACACAAUCUAAAGUUGUAGUGUCCGCGAACGUGUUAAAAAAAAUACCCACAGACAGUUGACAUUUUAACAUUUUUUUUAACUUGGCUCGUUGCUAUAUGCGCAUUGCCACCAUAGACAUAAAUAAUAAUUCGCGGGAAUUAGCAGUAUAAAAGCAGUAAAAUUCGAAGUGAAGACUGAUUUUUUUGUAAUUUUUUGCUUCACAUAUAGACUGCUGAGCCAUUUAUGUCACCUUUCUUCAUUUUUUGGGAAGCUAUAACAAUAGUACAACAGUUUUAGAAUCCAUCACACAUAUUUUGUCUCAUUACAAGAAUUCAUGGGCACCCUAGUUGUUUAAUUUACGAAUAUGUUAUUAUUAGCUAACUUGUGGAACGAUAUAUUGCAACCACCAUAGGAUUCACUUUUACAAGUAUAAACGCAAGACUUUUUCACCAUUUUAGUAGUUUAAAUUGAUUUCGCAGCGCUCGCGAACAAUUUGGUUCGGCCGCCGCCAUAUAAGUAAAUUAUUUUUGUAAAAUUUCAAUAUUAACAUACCUACGAGCGACGCCAAAGCGUGGCUGGCUAAGUCAUGGCAUUCCAUUAUGGAGAAAUAGUACCGACUCAAACCAUUUUCACCUUACAGACAAACUGAUUGGAAUAUUUAACAAAAUAUUGAACCGACAGACAUCUGCAAACCACAAUUUCAAAGGCACAAAAUACAUUUAUACUCACCUGUCUGUCCAUCUUGGAAGCAAGGCAUAGAAAGAAAAAGAAAAUGUCCGACACUACUCAGAAUAUAGGCACUAAUCACAGUAAUUACCCCGAAUAUUGUACUACCCACAAGAUAUUAAGAAUAAAUCCAGUUCACAAACUUAUAAACGUCUAGAUGGAGCGUUGAUUGAUGUUGGCUGACAGGCGCUUUACCGCCAAUCAUACAAUCUGCUAAGUUAUUUAAAAAACUGGGAACCCACUCAUCGUUAAAGUUUCGAUUUCGAUCAGAGGAGACACGUCAUAUGCUGAUGGUUUGAUGUUAACGUCAAGCAAUGUUGGAAGAUGAUAGCUACCCAUGGGUCAUCAUGAACAUACCGGUUACAUAAAUGAGCUAUUGAAGAGCUAGGGAAGCUAGAGAAGAGCAAGGGCAAGAUCUAUAGCUGAGGCUUGUCUAUUGGGAUAAGGAAAAGUUGUCGGUGAUCCAUCAUUCAAAAUACAUAAGUCAAAUUCAUCAAUAAUAUUAAGCAAACAACUACUCUAAUGUUAUCAAUCUGGCAUCCAAAAGCUAUGUUAUGAGCAUUAAAAUCACCCAUGAUAAUACAA
This 1756-nucleotide long non-coding RNA is filed under the name Helicoverpa zea (corn earworm). Its description in RNAcentral is "uncharacterized LOC124645456, transcript variant X1". The record is from RNAcentral. Lineage: Eukaryota; Metazoa; Arthropoda; Insecta; Lepidoptera; Noctuidae.